Molecule: long non-coding RNA, 256 nt
Filed under: Mytilus galloprovincialis (Mediterranean mussel)
Lineage: Eukaryota; Metazoa; Mollusca; Bivalvia; Mytilida; Mytilidae
Source: RNAcentral
CAUACCCGCCAACUGUCACUAUUUGCAGGGGAUUCCCCCAUGGAGGCUCCCAAGUGGAAAUUUUGUAAGAGCAAUUUUGUCCACUAUUUUAAAGAAAACAAUUAAUUUAACAAUGGCUAUGAGCUUGUUAAAGCACGAAGAAACUAAAAAACCACAUUAGAAUAUAUUUGAAGGCCCCCUUGAAGGUUUUGUAGGACUAUAAGAACCAUCUUUAACGUAAAACCCCCAUUGGCAUUUUGAAAAGUUGGCAGGUAUG